AUUGAACGCUGGCGGCAAGCCUAACACAUGCAAGUCGAACGAGUGGCGGACGGGUGAGUAAUGUCUGGGAAACUGCGUGAUGGAGGGGGAUAACUACUGGAAACGGUAGCUAAUACCGCAUACCAUCGGAUGUGCCCAGCUGGGAUUAGCUAGUAGGUGGGGUAAAGGCACACCUAGGCGACGACCCCUAGCUGGUCUGAGAGGAUGACCAGCCACACUCGAACUGAGACACGGUCCAGAGUCCUACGGGAGGCAGCAGUGGGGCAGAUUGCACAAUGGGCGCAAGCCUGAUGCAGCCAUGCCGCGUGUAUGAAGAAGGCCUUCGGUUUGUAAAGUACUUUCAGCGAGGAGGCGUUACCCGCAGAAGAAGCACCGGCUAACUCCGUGCCAGCAGCCGCGGUAAUAC
RNAcentral lists this ribosomal RNA (406 nucleotides) under uncultured bacterium. Its description in RNAcentral is "partial 16S ribosomal RNA". It matches the Rfam family "Bacterial small subunit ribosomal RNA", at positions 30 to 526 of the family's 1533-position model. The record is from RNAcentral.